RNAcentral lists this long non-coding RNA (939 nucleotides) under Citrus x clementina. Its description in RNAcentral is "Citrus clementina (C. clementina) long non-coding RNA (CCLE_LNC005771)". The record is from RNAcentral. Lineage: Eukaryota; Viridiplantae; Streptophyta; Magnoliopsida; Sapindales; Rutaceae.
AAAUGAGGUAAAAUGAAUUUUUGAUUUUGUUUAAAAGUAAAAUGUCAAUUCAUUAUCAUCCUCAUUCUCUCAUUUUCAUUCCCACGGCUUUUGUUCCCACUCCUCCUUUCUAAGUUCAUUCUCAUUCAUUUAUAUUUUUAACAAGUAAAAUACUAUCUACAAAGAAUGGAAAUCAUUUUCAUUCCCUAAUUCAUAAGUAAAUCAUCAUUCUAAUAAUAGAGUUCAAAUUUUUGUAUAAAUUUAUUUUAUACAAAUCAAUAUAGUAUGAUAUAAUUAGUUUCAUUAAAUUAAGGUGAUAGAAUCAAAUUGGAUCCAAAAAAUAUCUUCGGUCCAAUUCAGAAUUUAUAUUUAUAAAAAAAUGAUAAGGUUAAUCCGAUAAAAAUCAGAAUAAGUCGGUUCAAUUCUCCGUUCAAAACUUCAAGAGUAGAUCCAACCGAAAAAUUCGAGGGAAAAAUAUGGGCACAGCAUUACGUGAGGGGAUAUAAGAGGCUCGCUUAACACGCCCUAUAUGAAAACCUUACUAAAAAUUUAACACUGCUUCUACUUCGUCGGCGCAUCGCCACCGCCCAACUUUGCGCCUUAGCCGCGCUACCUCCUUCGCCCUGGCACUAUCAAACAGCUCCAAUCAAUUAGUCCAUUGAAUCUUGAAUUUUCAAGAUUAACAAAAGUUAAAAGUAGAAGAAUAAGGGCUGGCGGCGAGAGGCUAAUACAUUAACAUUUGUAGCAGCCUAAUACCUUAUAAUUAUGAAAUAAUAACACAUUCUAAAGUAUAAAAAUAACACCUAAUAAAUAAUCUUUUUGCAUUUCAAGGGGAAAUGGUUAUGAAUAUUUUGUUAACUCUUUGAAUGGCGUAAAUGAGAAAAUGGAUGAUUAUAAAUUUGGGGGAUUGACACUUUCCCCUACAGAAAUCAACAUAUACUAUUUACCUCUCUGCUGUUU